UGGGGAAUAUUGGACAAUGGGGGCAACCCUGAUCCAGCCAUGCCGCGUGAGUGAUGAAGGCCCUAGGGUUGUAAAGCUCUUUCAGCGAGGAGGAUAAUGACGUUACUCGCAGAAGAAGCCCCGGCUAACUUCGUGC
This 136-nucleotide ribosomal RNA is filed under the name uncultured Labrenzia sp. Its description in RNAcentral is "partial 16S ribosomal RNA". It matches the Rfam family "Bacterial small subunit ribosomal RNA", at positions 355 to 508 of the family's 1533-position model. Lineage: Bacteria; Pseudomonadati; Pseudomonadota; Alphaproteobacteria; Hyphomicrobiales; Stappiaceae. The record is from RNAcentral.